This 23-nucleotide non-coding RNA is filed under the name Daphnia pulex (common water flea). RNAcentral also lists the same sequence under 2 other names. The record is from RNAcentral. Lineage: Eukaryota; Metazoa; Arthropoda; Branchiopoda; Diplostraca; Daphniidae.
AAAUAUCAGCAGGUAAUUCUGGG